GCAUGUUAAUCCACUGAACACAAGUGACUAUUGUCUAUCCGGAUAGACAAUAGUCACUUGUGUUCAGUGGAUUAACAUGCCACUGAACAC
Paramuricea clavata is the source of this 90-nucleotide non-coding RNA. The record is from the annotation of a GenBank genome assembly. NCBI's taxonomy places the organism in Eukaryota, Metazoa, Cnidaria, Anthozoa, Malacalcyonacea, Plexauridae.